Molecule: ribosomal RNA, 484 nt
Filed under: uncultured bacterium
Lineage: Bacteria
Description: bacterial SSU rRNA
Rfam family: Bacterial small subunit ribosomal RNA
Source: RNAcentral
UACGUGCCAGCAGCCGCGGUAAUACGGAGGGUGCGAGCGUUAAUCGGAAUAACUGGGCGUAAAGGGCACGCAGGCGGUGACUUAAGUGAGGUGUGAAAGCCCCGGGCUUAACCUGGGAAUUGCAUUUCAUACUGGGUCGCUAGAGUACUUUAGGGAGGGGUAGAAUUCCACGUGUAGCGGUGAAAUGCGUAGAGAUGUGGAGGAAUACCGAAGGCGAAGGCAGCCCCUUGGGAAUGUACUGACGCUCAUGUGCGAAAGCGUGGGGAGCAAACAGGAUUAGAUACCCUGGUAGUCCACGCUGUAAACGAUGUCGAUUUGGGGGUUGAACUUUAAGUUUGGCGCCCGUAGCUAACGUGAUAAAUCGACCGCCUGGGGAGUACGGCCGCAAGGUUAAAACUCAAAUGAAUUGACGGGGGCCCGCACAAGCGGUGGAGCAUGUGGUUUAAUUCGAUGCAACGCGAAGAACCUUACCUGGUCUUGACAU